Molecule: long non-coding RNA, 379 nt
Organism: Gasterosteus aculeatus aculeatus (three-spined stickleback)
Lineage: Eukaryota; Metazoa; Chordata; Actinopteri; Perciformes; Gasterosteidae
Source: Ensembl
GUUCAUGUGUAGUUACACCUUGUGGUUUUACACACAGAGGUGUGUUAGUCAUCAUUGUGGUUACUUUUAAGUGAUGUUGCUACAAUUCUGAAUCAAGUUCGAUUCAAUCAUCUCCAAACUGGACAUUCAGCCUCGUCUGUACGUCGUGUUUGGUGCUAAAUGCUAGCUAGUAAUGCAUGCUAGGAUGGUGAUUUAAGAUGGAGAACAUGGAACACUGAACAUGCUACACAUCAGCAUGUUAGCAUGACGUUUCGAUUAAUCGCACAAAAACAAAAGCGUUUACCGCAGAUGACACUUGGGACGAAAUAAUGGGUCCUGACAAUUAAGAAUUCAACGUUCCCAUAUGAAAGUGUGGUGCUGUGAUAUUAAUACACCGACG